GACAGAGGGGGCAAGCGUUGCUCGGAAUUACUGGGCGUAAAGGGCGCGUAGGCGGGAUGGUAAGUCGGUCGUGAAAUCCCUCGGCUCAACCGAGGAACGUCGAUCGAUACUGCCGUUCUUGAGGAUUGCAGAGGAGACUGGAAUUCCCGGUGUAGCGGUGAAAUGUGUAGAGAUCGGGAGGAACACCGGUGGCGAAAGCGGCGCACUGGACCACUUCUGACGCUGAGGCGCGAAAGCGAGGGGAGCAAACAGG
RNAcentral lists this ribosomal RNA (253 nucleotides) under uncultured bacterium. Its description in RNAcentral is "partial 16S ribosomal RNA". It matches the Rfam family "Bacterial small subunit ribosomal RNA", at positions 524 to 776 of the family's 1533-position model. The record is from RNAcentral.